UGCGAGAUCAUGACCUGAGCCAAAGUGGAAUGCUUAACCGACUGAGCCGCCCAGGCACUUCCAUUGAUCUUUUAAACGUGAGACCUCAGUGUGACAUUUCUGACGUGACAAGUGGAGUUUUAUGAUUAGUAUUACUUAAGAUGGUAUAUAAUAUUACUUGCCUUAAUGAGCUGUAAAUCUUGCCUUCUGAGUCAUAAAAUCUCAUGCCAUUAUCGUGAAAAGCCUUGAUCAAAGUGAGAGUGGUGAAAGUUGUAGAAUUCAAGAAAUAGUAGCCCAGUAUUUGUUGUUACAUCUUCUGGGCUAGGUGCAUUGGUUCAGGGAAAUGAUAGGACUGUAACUGUAACAAAACUGACUAUGAUUGAAGCAAAAAGGAAUGAAAGCUACUUAAAGGAAAGAUCCAAGUUUUGGAAAGGCCAACAAAGCCUCUGGUUACUUUUUGUUUUUGCCAAAGAAUGGUAGCAGACAUGAAUUGAGAGGAGCUGUGGACUAAACGAUAGGUUCUCUUGAUGGAUGUGGAACAAAUUUGGGGUUUACAGAUAAGUGAGUGAUCGAGGCAUAGAGUAGGAAAAGUGUGUCUGUCAAUUAGUUAUGUUUUCCCUGAAAUUUACUGAAAAUGACAGGGGCAGGGAUCUGUGAUGCAUGUGGGAAAGGAAGGAGUAGCAACUGCCUACAAAUAAGGCCAGCAUUCAGUUUUCCUUGGUUAAAAUUUGAGUAUCAAAAUACCAAACAGAAUCAUUUUAUGAACUUUCAAAAGCUUGUUGAUUUAAAAAAAAAUACAUUUUUACUUAGCACAAACCAUCAUCUAAAACCUAGGUAUAACUCAGAGCAGUCUUUAAUCUAAAUAUUUAAGUGUAAAUGACAAGUUAUUACUUUAAAGAAUGGCUCAGAAACCUAUAAACUUGAGAGUCAAGCCACUUAAUUUUGUAACUUUUGUCUAGAUACAAAUGUAUUUGGACUUCACAUGAUGAAAAACUAUGGGAAAGCUGAGCUAACUCAGACGUGUUUACUACUCUUAAUUUAAGCUCUAAGCGAAAGACAUGAGGCCUAAGACUGAAAUGAGGUUGUUUUGAGGCCAUCUGAUUUCUGACUAGAAGGUGUGCGAUCGCCUCGUCCUGAAACCACUUCAAACAGAAUGGUUUGCAAUUUUUUUUGGUGAUGGCAUGUUCAGAAUCUUGGAUCCCUAAGUUGAAUAUGUUGGAAAUAUUUAGGAACUCUACAAAUUAUCGUUUUGUAUAUAUAAUGACUUACUAGGUGAAUCAGUAGAUUUAAUAAAAAGUAAAUAAAAGAAUAGGUAUUAUAAUUUUGUGUUUCUAAGUUGACAUGCAUGUCUCAAAUUGUCAUCUAUCAGUAUUAGUGUCAUUCUCUGGAGACCAUUCUAUUUUGAAGAUUUGGAGGUUUUUACGGACCCCAUAUUUCCCCAGGUAGCUUACGUCUCCCCUGCCCCCCACCCCAUGUCAGCUCCUUUUCCUUUCUCCCACAAUGCAGUGUAGCUUACCUAGAUCAGAGGUAGUUAUUGAUCAGGAAGAGAUCAAAUGACAGUCCUAGAGGUAAUAAUAAUAAAACCUCAGCUUGGAAACGGUCUAUAUUAGAAUAUACAAAUUAUAUCCAAAUACACUUGUGACAAAAUGUUGAUUUUCAAUUUGGUUAUUAUUAUCUAGGAACAGAAGUGCUAAUGGGGUGGAAAAAGACGAGUGCAGUUUCACCUCCUCCCUCGCUCCCUAUUGUUGGGUGAAUGACUUAGGGGAAAGUAAAAUAGCCUAGAGGCAAGACCAUUUAAUUGAAAAGGAGAAAAAACAAAACUUUAAUCUCCAAGACAGAAUACUUCCGCUUAAAAAUGUGAAAGUUAGCUCUAUUCCGUGUACCUGAACAUAUUAUUUUAAAACUGUGGGCUCAGUUUCACAUAGACCAGAGUGUGAGCUAGGGUCUGUUUGACCAUAGGAAGGGCUGGAGAGCUUGUUAUUUGCUAGGAGAGUCAGACGGACCUUGGGUGACAGUCUUGGUUGACUUGUUCCCUGGCCUGUUCCUGCUGGAUUAAGGGGUUUGAGGAAUGUUCUGGGUUUUGAUGUUCAAAUAAUACAACAGCCUCCCUAUCCCUAUGACCAAAACUGAGGAAAAAUUGAUUUUUAGGACUGUAUUUAGAACAGCUUGGCAAAGGAUCAUAGAUUAAGGCUGAGAAGAAUUCAAGGAACUAUGGAGACUGAGUGGUAGUUCGAUAGAAUGUUACUGUAUUUGUUUAUUAGAAGUUUUAUUAUUGGUAGAUUAUCUAAAAAUACGGAAGUUUGUGUAUAACCCAAGUUUCCAUAACAUUUCUAUUAGAAGUCUUGCUUUAAGAGGAUUUGACUGAUAAAUAUAUUUAAUAGGGGUAGCACAAUGAAAAACAGUCGAUUUUUAAAAAACAGGUUACAUUUUAAUUUAAAUGUGUGUUGCCUAAAUUUGCUGUUUUCCCAUUACAACUGGCUUUUUAAAAACUCUCCUUCUGUGAUACUUUUAUCAAUAGAGGUGUUUCCUCUUAGCCAAUUCUAGCCACAGUAUUGACUGGGCCUCGGCACAUGAUAUGUCCAGAAGGAAUUAGACAGACAGGAAAAAACUUGGUCUCUACUGGAAUGAAUAUUUUAAAAACCUUCUUGGAUUCUGAAUACUUUGAGUUCAAAUGAAAGAGACCUGAGAGAAGGGAAAAUUUAAGACCCCAAGAAUAAAAAAAUGGUGGUGGGAGAUAAACCCUUACAUAGCUAACUAAGUAAUAAGGGAAGGAAAUUAAUUUCCUGGAGAUUAUGAUACAGAAUAUGAAAUCCCUUGGAUAGUAGGCAUUCUUAGACUCACGGGUAAUUCACACUAGCACACUGCAGUCUUGUAAGGAUAGUGGCACGUGAUCUGAGGAAAUAUUAAUGAAUUUCCUACAUGGAGUUGGAUGUUUAUUUUAGUGUGUUACAAAUGGGUAUGCAGCUCAAAAAUGAACAUAAUUCAAAAUAAGUAUCUUAGAUACAAGAGAAAAUACUAUAGAAAGUGGAUCUUUUCUCCCUAUUGUACAAUGUUAGAAAGUAAUGUAGAAAAUGGAGCAUGGUAGAGAAUUGAUGGCAUGACUAUAAUCAGUAUUUGAUGGUUGUUUACUAGAAACUUCUAAAUAAAACCUUACAUUUGUUCAGUGUUGUCCUUGGUUGUACUGUAACAGAAUUUUAGUGAGAAAAUGUGUUCCUUCUUGGGUCACUCUACUCCAUAGUCGGGUACAUCACUAUGAAAAUGGAGAAAUCUAAGCUUCUUUACCCAGGGAGGAACAGAUCUUUGUAAAUUUGGGUACAGAAAUUGCAUAGAGACACAGAGAGGAGGUGAGCCUAGAACAGUUCUUUGUAUCUGGGCACUUUUUGACCACCUUUUGAAAAUCUGAUGGUAACUAUGGAUCCUUUUUCCCAAGACUGCAGUUUCUGAGGGUAGAGGGUCUGCUCUUGGCUGUCAUGUCAGGAAGCCCUGAUCUAAAAGAUCAUCUUCAUUUCCCUUCUGACCUUGCUCUGACUUUAUUGUCACUGUCUGUCAGGGGUUCUCAAAUGGAGCUACAAGUCUUGAAGGACACUCACGGCCUUCCACAUUGAACUGAAGCCUCACGUCCAGAGCUCUGUAACAUAACGGAGCAGACAGACAUCGGUCACAGAGUGGUACAAAGAGAGCCUGAGGCGGUGAGGGGGGCACAGCCUCCUCCCUACUGGUGCAGGGGUGCUUGUUCCAUAGUAAGUUGACUCUUAAUGUUUUGUUUUUAAAGUGAGCAUACUUUUUCUAAAACCUCAAAUUACUAUAAAGGUGUUCUACCUAAGUGUGACUUUUUCCUCAUGUGUUAAGAUGUCGCAUUAAUGGUGUGAAAUGUGUACUUCAAAUUAACAUAGUAACUGGGAACCUGGGAUUCUGUUAUUUUGUGACUCUGAAAAUUAUAACACGUUUUCAGGGGAAUUGUUGAGAUUGCCCAAUAAUUCAUUCUUUAUUCCUUUCAAGUUCCUGAAUGUAUUAUUGUCUCUGAAUCUUAUUAAGCCAUUUAUAAGAUUAGACAAAACUGUCUUCAGUUCAUAUUUUGGCACAGAAUGGAUACAUUGAAUUGAUCUUAUUAGAAAUGUAUUUUGACAAAAAAUCCUAUUUGAGUGGCUCUCAUCUUCAUUUUGGAAUCUCAGAUCUCCUGCUUGUUAUGUUGUUCAUUGGGACCUUGCUGCAAAAUACAGCUUCACUCAGAAGGUCAUCCUUGAAAAACCAAGAAAUCUGAAGAAACUUAUUUUGGGACUGAGUAAAGAGACGGAAGAGCAUCGGCAGAUUGACAACGCAGCACACUCUGGAAACAUCUUAGACUGCACCGCCUUUGUACAUGAAACAAUUUGACUGUUUUAUGAACUGGACCUAUAUAGAGAGAAAACAACCUCAUAAAAUGUAUCUUUAAUGUAAGGAAACAGGACUCUGGCCUCUAAAACAUUUCUGUCAGGACCAUUUGCUCUGACUACUCACUGAUGGAAGGAGGAGCUUGGGUCAUUGAACUUGACUGAAAGUUAGAUGCCACGUAUUCCGGAUCUGAGGGUGUUUCUUAAUUUCAUCGGGAUAUAGUGUUUUGGGCUUUCGCAGCAUCUGCCUCCCAUGUGCCUUUCCUGUCCCCUGAGAAAGGGGCUUGAGUUCAUCUGUGCCCUGAUACUUGUUCUCUGUCCUUUCUUUUCUGGACUGUUGACUUAAAUUUGGGGGAGACGUGGAGCACACAGGAUUCCUGUUAAAUCUACCCUGCUUUCCCUCCCCAGUCAUUGUGUUGCAUUUCCUUUUCAGCUCUUCUCAGUGUUGCCCAAUUUUAGCCCCUUGGUUAGGUCAAGGUGGCAUUAAAAUCGCACCUUCUUAGGCUCCCUUCCCGUGUCCUGUUUGUUCUGCCCGUAGUGGGCGGUUUUCAGUUGUACUGCAGAGGUGCCCACGUGGCUUCUCAUUUCCCUCCCCCUUCCCGUGUGUUCUGCUGUAGAAGGAAAACAGAUCGAGCCUUGGGGAUUUGAGCUGUGUAAGGUUUGCCUCCACGGCUUCACAGCUCAGUAUUUAAAAUACAGCCUUAUAGUUGUGCUGCCAACAGUAGUCUCCUUCGUACCUUGGCUCUGCGCUGGGCACUGUCCCCGCAUCCUCUCCACUGCUCGAUUCUCGAGGCCAGGAAUGGACCGCAUGGUGCCUUCUGCACAGGGUCAACGACAGCUUCCUCUCCGGAGCUUGUAGUUCCGGGGCCGUGAGUUAGGGAGGGAUUGAAGAGAUCCCCGUGUCCUCCCCUGGACUCGCGUAAAAGCAGAUCACGUGCAGAGAAAGUCCUAAUGCCAGGAUGAUUUUGAAAGCAGGAUUUACCAAAUUUAGUUCAACCAUGAACCUGCAUUGACUACCUUGGUGUGCCAUACUUUCAACAAAAUGAAAGCCUAACCCUCGAAAAACCUUACCAGAUUAACCCUGACGUAAGUCCAAUGUGAUAUGACUCAAAGUUUUUACAAGUAGUUUUCAGAAACGUGCAAAUAUGUUUUGUGUAAAAGAGUAUAUACUGUAUAUAAUAAUUUUGUUCUAAUAAAUAUUAAACUUAAGUGGUCUCAGUAUUUAAAACCUAGUAGUUUGAAAUCACUUUCUUGAGUAACAUUUUAAAGUACAUAAUCUUUUUACUUUUCAUGUAAUGUGCAAGUAUUCUUAGAAGCUGUUUACAUGUGUUUGUUCUCCACAUGUAAAACUACUGUGUCCUCAGUAAGAGUUUCUGAACCUUUUGGCUGUAAUUACCAAGUGCUUGGGAUUGGGCCGGCUGGAAAUGCAUAUUGAGCUUUUCUGUGUAUGUAGCACACUUUGUCUAAAUAAAGUAGCUUUGUACCCUGAA
Suricata suricatta (meerkat) is the source of this 5839-nucleotide long non-coding RNA. RefSeq lists it as uncharacterized. The transcript is spliced from 3 exons. NCBI's taxonomy places the organism in Eukaryota, Metazoa, Chordata, Mammalia, Carnivora, Herpestidae. The record is from RefSeq and is a predicted model, not a curated record.